RNAcentral lists this ribosomal RNA (2040 nucleotides) under marine metagenome. Its description in RNAcentral is "bacterial LSU rRNA". It matches the Rfam family "Bacterial large subunit ribosomal RNA", at positions 556 to 2455 of the family's 2925-position model. The record is from RNAcentral.
CCGUGUGCCUACAAGCCGUUGGAGCCUGGAAGAUCUUUGGAUCAGGGUGACAGCGUGCCUUUUGAAGAAUGAGCCUGCGAGUUAGUGAUAUGUGGCGAGGUUAACCCGUGAGGGGCAGCCGUAGCGAAAGCGAGUUCGAAUAGAGCGAAUGAGUCGCAUGUUCUAGACCCGAAGCGGAGUGAUCUACCCAUGGCCAGGUUGAAGCGAAGGUAAGACUUCGUGGAGGACCGAACCCACCAAUGUUGAAAAAUUGGGGGAUGAGCUGUGGGUAGGGGUGAAAGGCCAAUCAAACUCCGUGAUAGCUGGUUCUCCCCGAAAUGCAUUUAGGUGCAGCGUCACGUGUUUCUUGUCGGAGGUAGAGCACUGGAUGGGCUAGGGGGCCUACAAGCUUACUGAACUCAACCAAACUCCGAAUGCCGAUAAGUGAGAGCGUGGCAGUGAGACUGUGGGGGAUAAGCUUCAUAGUCGAGAGGGAAACAGCCCAGACCACCAACUAAGGCCCCUAAGCGUGUGCUAAGUGGGAAAGGAUGUGGAGUUGCAUAGACAACCAGGAGGUUGGCUUAGAAGCAGCCAUCCUUGAAAGAGUGCGUAAUAGCCCACUGGUCAAGUGAUUCCGCGCCGACAAUGUAACGGGGCUCAAGCACAUCGCCGAAGUUGUGGCAUUCACACCGAUAACCCGGCCGUAAGGUCCAGGUGUGUGGAUGGGUAGGGGAGCGUCGUGUGGCGAGCGAAGCGGCGGGGAGACCCAGCCGUGGACGCCACACGAGUGAGAAUGCAGGCAUGAGUAGCGAAAGACGGGUGAGAAACCCGUCCGCCGGAUGACCAAGGGUUCCAGGGCCAGGCUAAUCCGCCCUGGGUAAGUCGGGACCUAAGACGAGGCCGACAGGCGUAGUCGAUGGACAACGGGUUGAUAUUCCCGUACCGGUUUACACGCGACCAUGACGAGCCCAGUGAUGCUAAGCCCACAAAGUCGAGGAACUCUUCGGAGGGAAUCGGUGGAGUGCGCGAACCGAACUGAUAGUAGUCAAGCAAUGGGGUGACGCAGGAAGGUAGCUCAACCGCGGCGAUGGUAGACCGCGGCCAAGGUUGUAGGGCGAGAUGUAGGCAAAUCCGCAUCUCAUGUGCCUGAGAACUGACGGGGAGCCGACUUAGGCGAAGUGAGUGAUCCUAUGCUGCCGAGAAAAGCCUCUAGCGAGUGUGUAAGCCGCCCGUACCCCAAACCGACACAGGUGGUCAGGUAGAGAAUACCGAGGCGAUCGAGUGAACUGUGGUUAAGGAACUCGGCAAAUUGCCCCCGUAACUUCGGGAGAAGGGGGGCCGCGGCUGGUGAUGGGACUUGCUCCCUGAGCUGGCUACGGCCGCAGAGACCAGGUGGAAGCGACUGUUUACUAAAAACACAGGUCCAUGCAAAGUCGCAAGACGACGUAUAUGGACUGACGCCUGCCCGGUGCUGGAACGUUAAGGGGACCAGUUAGUUCUUCGGAGCGAAGCUGAGAACUUAAGCGCCAGUAAACGGCGGUGGUAACUAUAACCAUCCUAAGGUAGCGAAAUUCCUUGUCGGGUAAGUUCCGACCUGCACGAAUGGCGUAACGACUUCCACGCUGUCUCAACCGCAGACUCGGCGAAAUUGCACUACGAGUAAAGAUGCUCGUUACGCGUGGCAGGACGGAAAGACCCCGGGACCUUUACUACAGCUUGGUAUUGGUGGUCGGUUCGAUUUGUGUAGCAUAGGUGGGAGACUUGGAAGCCCGGACGCCAGUUCGGGUGGAGUCAUCGUUGAAAUACCACUCUGAUCGUAUUGGCUGUCUAACCUCGAUCCGUGAUCCGGAUUAGGGACAGUGCCUGGUGGGUAGUUUAACUGGGGCGGUUGCCUCCCAAAGAGUAACGGAGGCGCUCAAAGGUUCCCUCAGCCUGGUUGGCAAUCAGGUGUCGAGUGUAAGUGCACAAGGGAGCUUGACUGUGAGACUGACAGGUCGAGCAGGGACGAAAGUCGGAACUAGUGAUCCGGCGCCGGCAUGUGGAAGCGGCGUCGCUCAACGG